RNAcentral lists this ribosomal RNA (236 nucleotides) under uncultured Staphylococcus sp. RNAcentral's name for it is "partial 16S ribosomal RNA". It matches the Rfam family "Bacterial small subunit ribosomal RNA", at positions 104 to 334 of the family's 1533-position model. Lineage: Bacteria; Bacillati; Bacillota; Bacilli; Caryophanales; Staphylococcaceae. The record is from RNAcentral.
GGGUGAGUAACACGUGGAUAACCUACCUAUAAGACUGGGAUAACUUCGGGAAACCGGAGCUAAUACCGGAUAAUAUAUUGAACCGCAUGGUUCAAUAGUGAAAGACGGUUUUGCUGUCACUUAUAGAUGGAUCCGCGCCGCAUUAGCUAGUUGGUAAGGUAACGGCUUACCAAGGCGACGAUGCGUAGCCGACCUGAGAGGGUGAUCGGCCACACUGGAACUGAGACAUGGUCCAG